This 377-nucleotide ribosomal RNA is filed under the name uncultured bacterium. Its description in RNAcentral is "bacterial SSU rRNA". It matches the Rfam family "Bacterial small subunit ribosomal RNA", at positions 28 to 416 of the family's 1533-position model. The record is from RNAcentral.
GACGAACGCUGGCGGCGUGCUUAACACAUGCAAGUCACGGGGGCCCGCAAGGGCAACCGGCGAACGGGUGUGUAACACGUGAGCAACUUACCGAUUUGUGGGGGAUAGCCUGCCUAACGGCAGGGUAAUACCGCAUACGCUCUUUGGGUGGAGUCACCUGAAGAGGAAACCUCCGGGGCAAAUCGAGGGGCUCGCGGCCUAUCAGCUAGUUGGUGCGGGUAAUGGCCCACCAAGGCGACGACGGGAGCUGGUCUGAGAGGAUGGCCAGCCACAUUGGGACUGAGAUACGGCCCAGACUCCUACGGGAGGCAGCAGUGGGGAAUCUUGCGCAAUGGACGAAAGUCUGACGCAGCGACGCCGCGUGAGGGAGGAAGCUC